RNAcentral lists this transfer RNA (73 nucleotides) under Canis lupus familiaris (dog). It matches the Rfam family "tRNA". From Rfam's summary of the family: Transfer RNA (tRNA) molecules are approximately 80 nucleotides in length. Lineage: Eukaryota; Metazoa; Chordata; Mammalia; Carnivora; Canidae. The record is from Rfam by way of RNAcentral. RNAcentral also lists the same sequence under 1 other name.
ACCUGUCUGGCUCAGUAGGUAGAGCAUGUGAUUCUUGAUCUUGCAGUCAUGAGUUCAAGCCCCAUGUUGGGCA